UUNUGAACUGGGUGACUAGAGUGUNUCAGAGGGAGGUAGAAUUCCACGUGUAGCAGUGAAAUGCGUAGAGAUGUGGAGGAAUACCGAUGGCGAAGGCAGCCUCCUGGGAUAACACUGACGUUCAUGCCCGAAAGCGUGGGUAGCAAACAGGAUUAGAUACCCUGGUAGUCCACGCCCUAAACGAUGUCGAUUAGCUGUUGGGCAGCAUGACUGCUUAGUAGCGAAGCUAACGCGUGAAAUCGACCGCCUGGGGAGUACGGUCGCAAGAUUAAAACUCAAAGGAAUUGACGGGGACCCGCACAAGCGGUGGAUGAUGUGGAUUAAUUCGAUGCAACGCGAAGAACCUUACCUGGUCUUGACAUGGACGGAACCCUCCAGAGACGGAGGGGUGCCUUCGGGAGCCGUAACACAGGUGCUGCAUGGCUGUCGUCAGCUCGUGUCGUGAGAUGUUGGGUUAAGUCCCGCAACGAGCGCAACCCUUGUCAUUAGUUGCCAUCAUUAAGUUGGGCACUCUAAUGAGACUGCCGGUGACAAGCCGGAGGAAGGUGGGGAUGACGUCAAGUCCUCAUGGCCCUUAUGACCAGGGCUUCACACGUCAUACAAUGGUCGGUACAGAGGGUAGCCAAGCCGCGAGGUGGAGCCAAUCACACAAAACCGAUCGUAGUCCGGAUUGCACUCUGCAACUCGAGUGCAUGAAGUCGGAAUCGCUAGUAAUCGCAGGUCAGCAUACUGCGGUGAAUACGUUCCCGGGUCUUG
RNAcentral lists this ribosomal RNA (756 nucleotides) under uncultured bacterium. RNAcentral describes it as "bacterial SSU rRNA". It matches the Rfam family "Bacterial small subunit ribosomal RNA", at positions 626 to 1383 of the family's 1533-position model. The record is from RNAcentral.